This 901-nucleotide ribosomal RNA is filed under the name uncultured archaeon. RNAcentral describes it as "bacterial SSU rRNA". It matches the Rfam family "Archaeal small subunit ribosomal RNA", at positions 1 to 903 of the family's 1478-position model. The record is from RNAcentral.
UUCCGGUUGAUCCUGCCAGAGGUUACUGCUAUCGGUGUUCGCCUAAGCCAUGCGAGUCAUAUGUUCUUCGUGAACAUGGCGUACAGCUCAGUAACACGUGGAUAACCUGCCCUUGGGUCCGGCAUAACCCCGGGAAACUGGGGAUAAUUCCGGAUAACGCACAUAUGCUGUAAUGCUUUAUGCGUAAAAUGGAUUCGUCUGCCCAAGGAUGGGUCUGCGGCCUAUCAGGUAGUAGUGGGUGUAAUGUACCUACUAGCCGACGACGGGUACGGGUCGUGAGAGCAAGAGCCCGGAGAUGGAUUCUGAGACAUGAAUCCAGGCCCUACGGGGCGCAGCAGGCGCGAAAACUUUACAAUGCGGGAAACCGUGAUAAGGGGACACCGAGUGCCAGCAUCAUAUGCUGGCUGUCCAGAUGUGUAAAAUACAUCUGUUAGCAAGGGCCGGGCAAGACCGGUGCCAGCCGCCGCGGUAACACCGGCGGCCCGAGUGGUGAUCGUGAUUAUUGGGUCUAAAGGGUCCGUAGCCGGUUUGGUCAGUCCUCCGGGAAAUCUGACGGCUCAACCGUUAGGCUUUCGGGGGAUACUGCCAGGCUUGGAACCGGGAGAGGUAAGAGGUACUACAGGGGUAGGAGUGAAAUCUUGUAAUCCCUGUGGGACCACCUGUGGCGAAGGCGUCUUACCAGAACGGGUUCGACGGUGAGGGACGAAAGCUGGGGGCACGAACCGGAUUAGAUACCCGGGUAGUCCUAGCUGUAAACGAUGUUCGCUAGGUGUUAGACAUGGCGCGACCGUGUCUGGUGCCGCAGGGAAGCCGUGAAGCGAGCCACCUGGGAAGUACGGCCGCAAGGCUGAAACUUAAAGGAAUUGGCGGGGGAGCACAACAACGGGUGGAGCUGCGGUUU